GAUGAACGCUGGCGGCGUGCCUAAUACAUGCAAGUCGAGCGAACGGACGAGAAGCUUGCUUCUCUGAUGUUAGCGGCGGACGGGUGAGUAACACGUGGAUAACCUACCUAUAAGACUGGGAUAACUUCGGGAAACCGGAGCUAAUACCGGAUAAUAUUUUGAACCGCAUGGUUCAAAAGUGAAAGACGGUCUUGCUGUCACUUAUAGAUGGAUACGCGCUGCAUUAGCUAGUUGGUAAGGUAACGGCUUACCAAGGCAACGAUGCAUAGCCGACCUGAGAGGGUGAUCGGCCACACUGGAACUGAGACACGGUCCAGACUCCUACGGGAGGCAGCAGUAGGGAAUCUUCCGCAAUGGGCGAAAGCCUGACGGAGCAACGCCGCGUGAGUGAUGAAGGUCUGCGGAUCGUAAAACUCUGUUAUUAGGGAAGAACAUAUGUGUAAGUAACGGUGCACAUCUUGACGGUACCUAAUCAGAAAGCCACGGCGAACUACGG
RNAcentral lists this ribosomal RNA (496 nucleotides) under uncultured bacterium. Its description in RNAcentral is "partial 16S ribosomal RNA". It matches the Rfam family "Bacterial small subunit ribosomal RNA", at positions 28 to 506 of the family's 1533-position model. The record is from RNAcentral.